GGGGUUGUGGCUCAGUGGUAGAGUGCUUGCCUAGCACAUGCAAGGCCCUGGGUUCGAUUCUCAGCACCACA
This 71-nucleotide transfer RNA is filed under the name Marmota monax (woodchuck). Its description in RNAcentral is "tRNA.Ala". It matches the Rfam family "tRNA". Rfam says of the family: Transfer RNA (tRNA) molecules are approximately 80 nucleotides in length. Their secondary structure includes four short double-helical elements and three loops (D, anti-codon, and T loops). Lineage: Eukaryota; Metazoa; Chordata; Mammalia; Rodentia; Sciuridae. The record is from RNAcentral.